This is a long non-coding RNA of Mustela erminea (ermine), 10255 nucleotides long. RefSeq lists it as uncharacterized. Lineage: Eukaryota; Metazoa; Chordata; Mammalia; Carnivora; Mustelidae. The transcript is spliced from 6 exons. The record is from RefSeq and is a predicted model, not a curated record.
ACCCCAGGCCCACGCCCUCGGUCGGCGCUGGCAGUUCGUAUCCCGGGGUCGGCGCAGCCCACUUCUUGGGAUGGGCCAGAGGGAGUGUGAGCCGGCGUUGGGCCCAACUUUGUGAAGUUCAGAGACUCACCGUCGAAAGAGACCGCCUUGGCAGUCGUCCCCAUUACGCCUUUUUUUUUUUGCCCUUCCCUGCCUCGAGCGCCCUGAGCCUUUGCCGUGUUCCGGAGCUCCGCGGCUGUCUGACAGCCGGCCCUGCCUUGGGCACCUAGUCCUCUUCAGGUGUUGGGCUGAGAGGGACAGGGAUUGAGAAACGGAAAUACCACCACCGUCCAGCCAAACCUGUGAGGACUGAUUGCAGGGGAACUGGUGCUCCAGAUGUUGCACUAGAGGCGCUGCGAGUGUGAGCAGGUGACAGUCGGCUUCCAUUAUGAGUUGUAGCAGAUGUUCUCAACAUUUCUUUUGAAACUUCCUUAUAUUUCCUUGAAUGAGGAGCCCCAGAGCCUCAUCCCUGUGGUAGCUACCAUGCUUUGAUGUAAGCUGCUGUUCACCAGGGAGGUUUGACAAGAGAAUUGGCCACGUGAGCAAGUUCAUCUCCAUUGUGGAAAAACAACUUGAAUCUCAUCUCUUUCGAAGCUUGUAGUUGUUUUGGUGGAGGGACUGAUUCUAGAGCUUCGUACUCAGUCAUCGUCCAUGAUACCACUCCCUGCUGUGUUCAUUUUAAAAAUGUUCCUGUUUGGACAAAAAGUUUUAUGGUCACCUAUCGAUGUACUGUCUGUAGGACAGGGGUAGCCUGAAUGCCUGCUUCACUGAAUACCUGCUUCACAGCUCCUUUCACAUUUUCUUGUUGGAAAGACAACCGUUGGAGAAUCAUCUUGUUACCGUCGCAAAAAUGCAAACAAAUCAAGACAUUAAGAAUGCCACAGUGGCCAGCAGUUAAUGAUGCCAGUGUUACACAAGCUUCAGCAAAGUUUUCAAGACAGUGUGCCUCACUAGCCAGAAAUCAGGGAAGAUUGAACCUAUCCUUUUUGUCUCAGCUGUUCCUUAAAUCAAUGCAUCCCCUCCAAAUUAAUGUGAAUUGAAACACGCAUUGCCUUUUUAACUUAAUUGAGUACUUACUGUGGGUGAAUCACUGCACAAAAUAGGGGAGGGAAAAUGAGGGAGACAAGUAAGAUGUGUUUCCUGCUUUCAAUGGAUUUACAAUUACUUUCAGGGCACUUUUUUUUUUUUUCUUCUGCUCUUAAUUAAAUGUGUUUCUAAGAUAGAAAACAAAUGAAUGGAAAAGUGUAUUCUGCAAGUAUUUUAAAUCCCUUUAAUAAAAAAUGAAACAAAACAAUCUAAUGUGGGCAAGUGAAGGACAUCUUAAUUCCAUUUUUGUGGACUUUUGAUAGGUAGGGUUUAUUUUAUUGAUUCUAUAAAUAUUUGGUAGACUUUAGAGAUAUUAACAUAUUAGAGUUGGAAUUAAUUGGAUUAAUUUUUUUCUUCCUAGGUGUAGAUUGUCUAUUGAAAAGAUACAUUGUGUUUGUACAUUUCUUGAAGAGUGGAUAGGUGAAUUACAUCUGUUGCCUCUGUAGGCCUCUACCUUCUGUGCCCUAGGAGCCUGACAUCCUGUGUGAGUUAUUAGCAUGUGGAAGGGGAACAUUUGGAUCAAACUAUUGUUCACGGACCCAAGACAGGGCAGGGAUAGGAGCAAAACAGACCCAGGCAAUGACUCUGUCAGAAAAUUUGGCUAUUUCAGUAUUCAUGUGUUGUCCUCUAUGUUCCAAAAUUACUGUACGUUUUUUUCAAAAACUUAUUUCUGAUCUGGGAAUAAGUCAUGAUUUUUAGUGUUAAAACACUAAUAGGACUGUAGAUACUAGACAUUUUAUAUGGUGUUUGUAACACAUUUUAUUAUGUAUGAAUCAACAAUAGAAACGUCUUUGUCUGGAGUAGUGUCCAUUUGAAUGGAAAAUGUGCCAGCUUUUUUUUUUUUUACACAUCAUCAACAGACUUCUUAAUUAAGCUGCCAAUAAUACUCCUAAUAGCACUGUGCAUCAUUUGAGAAAUGAAUUGUGAAGUGCUGUUUCCCCCUUAUUGAAUAAACAAUGUUACUCCAUAUAAAAUGGAUUUAAACUGUUUUUGAAUAGGAGAUUAUAUUGCUCCCUAAAGAAUUUGAUGAGAAUUCUUAUACCUUCCCUUUUUACUUAAUUUUCAAAAAUUAAAUAUUUUGCUCCCCAGUAAGGAAUUGUUCUAAUUUGACCAGUGACUAAUGAUAUGAUCCAUCCUUAAUAGGAUGAAUCUCCCUGCCCCCAAAAUCCUGAUGGUGAUACUGGAUGUUUGUUAAUCUGAGUUAUGAAACUAUAUUGUACUAAACUGUAGACCUUUAUUUCCUAUUCUGUGAAAUUUUUUGUAGGGAACAUCUCUAUGUUCCUGGAAACUAGCACAGUGGCUGGCGCAUAGUAGGUAUGUGUUGAGUAAACAUUUGGUGAUCCAAAAAAUGUGUAAGGUAGCUUUUUCUGGGCUUCUUAAGACAGAGGGGUCUUGCUAAUAGAGUAGCACUUUCAUUGGUUUCCAGUCAAUCUAGUUAGAAUAAGUCCAAUUUAACCAGUUUCUUCAUAUUUUAGUCCACUGGGCUUCUUAAUGGGUGUCUUCGAUUCAUAAGUUUGGCCCUGUGAUUUGUACUAACAUCCACUCUGCUUUCCCUGGCCCUUGGCCAACUCGAUCAGGGUAGGCAAACUUUGGAGGGGCUGUUCUGCUUCUCCUCUGGCUUGUCUACCGCUAGAAGAGUAAUCACUCCAUUCACGGGGUAUUCACGACAUGCCAGGCGCGGAGCUAAGUGUUUUACACAUAUUCUCUCACUUAAUUAUCUCAUUUAAACCUUACAGCAACCAUUUGAAGUAGGUAUUAUCUACUGCAGAGAUAUGUAUGUAUCUUGCUUAAGUCAUGGGGAUCUAAAUCCAGAUCUCUUAGAUUCUAAAGCCUGAACUAUUAACCUCUCCCCUCCACUGCAUCCCAGGAGAAAUUCCCAGUGCCUGGUGGUGUGGGGGCAGAUCAAAUCUGGAUGUAGUCCAGAUUCAUUUCAUUUAGUAUUCCCAAACAACAAACUGUCUAACAGAUAAAACCCAGCAAAUCACAGUUGUUUUGAGAAUGGGGAAGGGCAGAGCAAUUGGGAGAAAGCAAAGUUGGAGACAAACCAAUUUGAGUCAAACCUUUAGCCUUUAUCUCAUAAUGCCUUUUUUUUUUUUUAAACUUUCUUUUUUUAACAUGGCCUGACACCAUGUGAUAAAUCAAAGCCUGACGUAAUUGACCCAGAAUUGAUCCCCAAAUGUCUUUUGGGGGAACAUGCUUUAACUCUAGUUGUUGAUUCUGAGGAAUAAUUGCCACCCUAGAAAGGUAAUUACAUAUGCCAUUGUUUAUACACAUAAUAGGCUCAGAAUGCAUAUUCUGCACAGAGGGAAAGAGAAUCCUGCUUCUACAUUAGGGGUGUGUGUUAUGUAUUGUGUCAGAAUGCCACAAAUAGCAUUUGAACUGUUCCCUCUUACUGCUUAUUUCCCUAACAUGUGUGUGUGCAUAUGUGUGCGUGUGUAAGGGUGAGGUUGGGAGUAAGGAAGGAGGUGGGCCAUGGACAGCUGUUUGUUGAGCUGAGCGACAGUGAUUUGCUUUUCCUUAAUUUUUUAGCUUACCAAAACAUCUUCUGGAUCUGAUUCAUUUAACUUGGGCUGGUAAAAUGACUUUUUUUUUUUCCUGCUUGGCAUAUGCUUAUUAAUGAGUUCUCAUAUUUCUUUCCAUCAAGCACUAUUUACCUUGUGGAAAUAUAAAGUGAGAAUCUUUCUCCGCAACAUCCUCCUAAAUGCCCUGGUUUUGACCACCCCUUUAAGUACACCAAAUAGUCAGCUAAAAUGGUAGCUAGUGCCUUUCCUCUCACUGUGCUUUCUGGUAAAACAUAAAUGGGAUUUAAACCACAAAUGACCAAUUAAAGCACUUCAUGCCUUUUUCCUUUAGCCAUAAGACAGUAGUUAACUUGAGUAAAUAUAACAAAUAGGCUAUUUUGUGGUAGUCUAACCUAGCAACAUAUAUAUAUAUAUAUAUUUUCUUUUUUUAAAUCCAAGCUUUAAAAAAACAUAAUGUCAUGAAUUUUUGUAGUACUGCCCAAUGAAAGGAAUACAUAUGUAUUCCAGUAUGGAACUGAGCCUUGUUUGAGGCCAGAGCAAUUCAUCCUGGGCUAUUCUCGGCUGCAGUGUCCAGCAAAUUGCAUGACCUGCUUGUUAGACUUGACAAGACUGUUUUACCUAACAAAGGCCUCUGCAGCUCUGAGCAGCAGUGGAAUGUCAGAAUGAGCACAUUUCACACACAGAUGUGCAGCCAUAAUAGCCUCUAAGAAGAUGCAUGUGGCAGGGAGCUAAGGGUGGGGGUUGGGUGCUUGGAGUGGGUGGUGUGUGAGAGUGUAGUUCGGGGGCCAGCGGGAGAAGGAGACCAACAGUUAGCAGUAGGGAUGUGGCCCCACUGACCACAUUUAAUCAGCCCUCUGUAAACAAUUCAACAUUUUCAUUGUUCUCUAAAAACUAAUAAAGAGAAACAAGCACUUUUCAUUCAUCUUGAAGUAAUUUUCUGUCAGGUUGGAGCCCCUUGCGGCCUCCAGCUUGGGCAAUGCUGGCUGUGUGAUACAACAACUAUUGCAAUUUAUUUUACAAACUCUGGUCAUUCACAUGUCAGUUAGUGUUCACCAAGCCGGCGUCUGAAAUUGUGCAGUUAACGAGUUUUACAACAUUUCUAUCAAGAGAAACUGUUUAGCAUAACUGACUCUUAAGGAGUUAUUAUACCUCUAAAAAUCCAUUUUAAGGGGCAUUAUUUAAAUAAAAUAGAAAAACGGUUCACUGCCUUUUAAAGGGGCUACAAAAAAAGUCCAUCAGCUCCAGUGCAGUAAUCCUCAGCUUAAAGCACUCUUGAGAGUACUUCUGGGAAUUGUCAGCAUAAUGAAAUGUUUUGUGAAAUGUCCAGAUAGAUUCCUCUACUCAACAAUUUUACUGCACCAUAUUUAUUUUCCUUCCAGUUUUUAAAGAAGUGAAUUACUUUUUGAGAGGAUGACUCUAUGUUGUGUAGAUUAACUGAGCACAUUAUUACCCAGGUUGUAGCAGAAGCGAUGGUUCUGUUUGUAGUAUUAUCCAUAUGCAUCUGCAGCCAGGGGCAAAGAAGAGAAAGGCAGCUUUCCCCCCUUAAUGCCUUAGCUCCAAAAGGGUUAAAUCGCCGUGAGGCCUACGGAUUUUGUAGUUUCCUCGUGCCAUGUUUCCUCAGACCUCUAAACAACAUGGGUACAAAAUGGCCCCUGUCAAUACUUCCUUUAAACCUUAAAAAAAUGGACUCUGUUUUCUUACCCUAAAUUACAAACGCAGGGAGAGCCAUACACUUGCACAGUGGCACAUGCAUUCUGAUGCGUAUCAUUUGAACCUGGCCCAUUUCUAUAGGAGAUGCCAUUGGACAUUUUACUUAAAGAAUAGUAGAUUCCUCACAUUAACUGAGAUGGCCAAUGACCCCCAAACCGAUUAAGGGCGAGAGUCCAUAAUAGAGCACUAUAUAGCAUAGCAAAAAGUUCAUUUAGCAUAUUAUAUUACCAAACGGGAGUAGAAGCUACCACUUGUAAUGUUAAUGGCUUAAUGGUUCUUUCUACGGUGAGCAAGGCCAGGAGAAAAAUUAUGUUCUACUGUAACAAGAGAUACUCCAUAUCCCUAAGAGGUGUAUCUGUAACAGGACAUAUUUCCAUUUUGCAACAAAUGAUCCCCUAAUUUCAUAGACUGAUGUUUGUGCACGUGACUUCAAUUUUCUGAGGGAGACAGGCAGGUGUUCUUGUGCCUGUUAGCCGUAUCUGCCCAUAAGAAGCACAGUAACAUCCAUGAGCCAAAUACAAUUUGACAUAAUUCAUACCUUUAUUACCUCCUACAGAAUGAUAUUAUUUCAUGCUGGCACAUUAAUGUUUCCAGUACGAUACUGUCAUUCCUGGAAAUUUUACCUUUUGAAGUUCAAAUAUUGAAGAAUGAGUUUUAAAAUUCUCUAACUGCCUUAGAUUUGGGGAAAAUGCGACUUAUUCCAAGGUCAGCUUUCUUACUCUUUUUUGAUAUUUCAUGGCCCUGUAGAUAAUGUUCAGAUAAUGGGAAAGAUCAUAUCUGAAAACUCUUACCUCUUCUUGACCAAAGAGCUCAUUCUUCUCCUAUUCCUAUUUUUUGCAAGUAAUAUUUCAUCAACUUCUUUUGUCAUACUUAGUUCACUGUUAUGUAUUCCUCUAGUGAUGCAAAUUCAGGAGAAGUUGACCCAAAAUGUUUAAAUGAUGGCAGCUUGAAUCUGUUCUGUGUAGUACUUAGAGCUGUCCUGAUACUCCAGCAUUCAAAAUUAGUUAGGGCAGAUGGAGUACAGAAGUUUCCUUUUGCAGCCAUAACAAAUUACCACAACUUUAGUGGCUUGAAAUAAUGCAAGUUUAUUGGCAUACAGUUCUGUAGUUCAGAGAUCUCACUGGGCUAAAAUCACUUGUUGACAGAGCUGCAUUCCUUCUGGAGGUUCUAGGGGAGUAUCCUUUCCCUUACCUUUUCUAGCUUCCAGAGACUGCCUGCUUUCCUUGACUCAUGGCCUCUUCCUCCAUCUUCAAAACUGGGAGUGGCAAGUCAAAUCCUUCUCACAUGGCGUCAGCCUGCCUCUUUUCCAUUGUCACCUUUCUCUUUCAUGGACUGUAGCUGGAAAAUAUUCUGUACCUUUGAGGAAUCAUGUGAUUAGAUUGGGCCCACCCAGAUAAUCCAGGAUAAUCUCUCCACCUCACCGUCUCUAUUCUAAAACAUAUCUUCAAAAUCCUUUUGGCAUGCAAGAUAUAAUAUUGACAGGGUCUGGAGAAUGGGACUUGGACAUCUUUGGUAGGGGGUGGGGGUUGAUGGCAUUAAUCUGCCUAUCCCAUGGAGUCUCUGAGAGUUCUUUCCCAUGCCAAUAUUUGGAGAGUUAAUUGCAGUUCCUAGGAGUCUCCAAACUUUUAAAAUCAUGCAUGAAAAUAGUUUCAAAAUUUUGAUUAGGUACCCCAGUGUAUGUACAUUUCCUUCUAAACCAUCCCACAUUAUCUAUAUUAAUAGUAUAUAUAUUAGUAGUAAAGCUUCAUUUCUUUUUAGUAUAUAAAUAAAUAAAAGCAGACCUUCUAAUGAUUUCUUUGCACCUCAGUGCACCAUCUUGUCUGCCCCCCCACAGGGCUGUGUGCCCCUAAUUUUGGAGGAGGAGGAGAAAGGAUAAAGUUUGGGUUAAUUUGUGUCAAUGAGGCUCUUUAUUCUUUCAGAAAUGUAAGUCUUCAAAGUAAGGAAGGGACUGCAGAGACUUUUUGGUAGUCUCUAUUAAUUUUUGACAGUGAGGAGUUGCGGAGUAUAAUAACAGUGUACAAUGUAAUGUACCCAAAGCUUUCCUGAAAGUUGAGACCUGUGAAUUAUAGAAUUAUUAGACAUGGGCCAUUUUGUAAAAGACUAGAAAGAGAUUGUUCACCAGAAGCUCUAGGGUAAGACCAUAUCUUGUGAAAUAGCUACUCAUGUCAGUGUGAUUGAAAAUCCCAAGAAGCCAAUUGCUCCACGAACAUUUUAAACACUAGUGGCAAGGUCCAUGUGAAACUGAGCUGAGAGGAAGGGUGAUUCUGCUAAGUUCAUUUGAAAUCCUAGUUUUCGACUUUGAAAACAUCUAUAUCCUAUCAGCCACUCUUGAUCUCCGUGCCAUAUGGGCCUAUAACAACAUAGGAAAACCAGAAAUUGUGACACAGGCUGACUCUGUUAAAUCCCCUUAUGUUAAAAUAUGAGAUGUUUUUAGAGCAGUCACCCUCAAAAAAAUGGGAUCUUGCUAAGAUAUGCUGACACACCUCUGAAAUCAAAAAGAGCUUCUGCUGGCAAAUGAAAGUAGGUUGCUGCAAAAACGUACAUCAAUUAGGAAACAAGUCAGUGAGUGUUUGCCAACUGCCAUAAGUGUCCCAGAAGCAGUCUGGGCAGUAGAUUUUUGUUUAAUUUUUUUCCAGGCACUCACUUCUAUUUUCUUUCUGAAAGGUGGGCAGGUAGUCGUCUUAAAUCCUUCACUGAUAGUUCCUAUCAGUGACAUCUCAAAAUGUAACUGAUAACAUGUCAAUGAUUACUGUACAAAGAAGUUAAACAUUAGAGUGAAAUUUCCCCAUUGAAACCCAAUACAGGGAUUAGCAACAAUAGGGAAUCUGUUUUAUUUGCAUUUAAUUUGUACCUUCACACUAUUAUCUCCCAUGUUUUAGUUUCAGGAAAUGUGGUCUCAGGCUAUUAUAACCGCAUUUCAUGCUGCUGUUGCACUGUUAUUUGAUCUCUAUGGUUGGAAAUGACUUACUGAAAAAAUAAAGCUAGCAUACUUUAUUUUAAUUAUACCAGUGCAGCGUCUAAAUAAAAAACGUACUUUAUAUUUAAUGUGGAGCACAGAUUAACAGUUUUAUGGGACAUAAAAUCUAUCUAUAUCAUUUUCUAUUUACACAUCAGUUAUAUAUCUUUCUCUCGGCAAAACAAAUGCCUAUGGUGUGAAAACAAGGAAGGAGAGCAUUGAAGUUACAAUCACAUGGGCAGUAAAUAACAUCUUAAUUGGUCUGGAAUGCCGGAGUUUGAUUUUUUUUCCGCCUGGCUUUUAUUUAUUGAUCUCUAUAGCUUAUUUAUCUUUCCAGUGAUUUGUACAAGUCUAUCUCCUUUCCUCAAUAAGCCAAUGUAUGGUGGUUUUAUAUUGCACAUCCCAUCUGGGGAAAUGGUCUAGUGAGAGAAGUGCCGUUGCUCCUGGAAAAGCCAUUAUUUAAAAGCUUUCGUAGAGGUAAGGGUGACGUCUUAGUUUUUAUGCUCUGUCUUCUGGAAAAGAGAAGGAAAGACGAAGUGUGGCUAUUAUGAAGUUGCCACCCAAUGUAUGUUUCAACAGUUCUCUUCUCUCCCUUGUCUGGCAGCAGGAGGAAAACAAAGAAGGACUUAGUGUACACUGGGAGAUGUCUUUUAAAUGUUCCUGUGCACGAUUUAGCUCCUGGUGAGGGUAGCAGACAGGAAUGGAUUAUGUAUAUCUCAUACAUAAUCUGUACACCUUGGGUUUUCCUCUGUACGCCUCUCUGCAGUUCCAGCCCUUCUAUCUUUCUAAACAGCUCUUUAGGAUAAACGACACUUCAAAUGACACAUUAUGCCCCACAGUGGGGUUGAGAACUGGCAAAUGUAACCAUUCUUGGGAAAGCUAGUUGGCAAAAAGUCCAACACUUUUCCUAGUAGAUCGCUGUCCACAGUUGAAGCAGAGCCUGGAAAAUUAGUCAUUUUUCCUCCUCCUAAAUCAGUGAUCCCCUUGUUCAUCAAACCAGCACUUCCAGUAUUUGUCAUGAUUCUGUUGGGUUGCCUUGAUCUCACAGAAUAUUAGCAAAGUGCUCUGAAAGAUCUCCUCUGUUGAUAGCUGAGGGAAAAACAAGUUUACAGAUGGCAGUGCUAUACUUACACUAUGCAAGUGAUGCUUUGCAAAGUGAUUCUGUAAACAUAUUCCAAAGAAGAGGCUCUGCUCUCCCAUCACCACCCUAAUAUAACCUUAAAUGCUUUAAAAUGAGCUAAUGAAAAUUUGGGGCAGGUCUUUUAGAGAAUGCAUUUGCAUUUGACAUAAUUAGUGGUAGGCAGAUCUCACCACAUCCAGAGGGAAUCUCAAGACAACUGCUUGGUCGACUAUUAGUGCUUAAUUUCUGAAUGUCAAACCCUGCACAUCUUAAUUUCUAGAGAAUAAGCUCAAUUGAACUUGCUCCCCAGUUAUGCAAAAACUGCUCAGAUAAAACCAAGUGGACACCAAUGUAAUGAAUGUGGUUAUUAAAUUGUUUCAAUUGAAAGAACCCUAUUCUUACACCAUCAUAAUGGGAACAAUUUAUCCCCACUGAUCGGGCUGUCUCUCUCUUUCUCUCUCUUGCUCUCUCUUUUUCUGAGCUCUCUUUGAUCUUGAAGCAUAUUGCAGUGGUGUGUCCUAUUGAAAAGCGAAACUGGGGCAAUUUUAAUGCUUUUGUACCUUACCAGUGCUCUAUUUUUUCACUGUUUAAAAAUAGCUGUUAAUUAUAAGUGCAGUUUAAAUGUCUCAAGUGACCCAGAAAUGCAGGUUGGAAUGAGACAGAUUGUGUGUCUCAUAUAAAACAGAUGUACUCUCACAGAGCAUUCUGAAUUCAGCCUUCCCUCUGUAUCCUUCUCUUGGGUUAUUUCAAUCAGGUAUUGAGCUGGUCUAGCACCGUGCUAUAAAAUCCCACACAUUUGAAGUGGAAAAAAAAAAAAAAAAA